CUACGGGUCGCUGCGGUCGAGAAUCUUCCACAAUGGACGAAAGUCUGAUGGAGCGACGCCGCGUGAUUGAUGAAGUCCUUCGGGACGUAAAGGUCUUUUAUGAGGGAAGAAGUUUAUUGACGGUACCUCAUGAAUAAGGGGCUCCUAAUCUCGUGCCAGCAGGAGCGGUAAUACGAGAGCCCCGAGCGUUAUCCGGAAUUAUUGGGCGUAAAGGGUGCGUAGGCGGUUUUGUUAGUCGCAUGUGAAAGAUCCGAGCUUAACUUGGGGAACGCACGCGAAACGGCAAGGCUUAGAAUGAAGAGAGGUGUGCGGAACUCAUGGUGUAGGGGUGAAAUCCGUUGAUAUCAUGGGGAACACCAAAAGCGAAAGCAGCACACUGGCCUUUUAUUGACGCUGAGGCACGAAAGCGUGGGUAGCGAAUGGGAUUAGAUACCCCGGUAGUC
RNAcentral lists this ribosomal RNA (443 nucleotides) under uncultured bacterium. Its description in RNAcentral is "partial 16S ribosomal RNA". It matches the Rfam family "Bacterial small subunit ribosomal RNA", at positions 339 to 795 of the family's 1533-position model. The record is from RNAcentral.